CUACGUGCCAGCAGCCGCGGUAAUACGGAAGGUCCGGGCGUUAUCCGGAAUUAUUGGGUUUAAAGGGAGCGCAGGCGGGAGUGUAAGUCAGCUGUUAAAUAUCAGGGCCCAACUCUGUUAUGCAGUUGAAACUAUAUUUCUUGAGUACGCACAGGGAUGGCGGAAUUCAGGGUGUAGCGGUGAAAUGCUUAGAUAUCCUGAAGAACUCCGAUCGCGAAGGCAGCCAUCCGGAGCGUAACUGACGCUGAGGCUCGAAAGCGUGGGGAGCAAACAGGAUUAGAUACCCUGGUAGUCCACGCCGUAAACGAUGAGUGCUAGGUGUUAGACCCUUUCCGGGGUUUAGUGCCGCAGCUAACGCAUUAAGCACUCCGCCUGGGGAGUACGACCGCAAGGUUGAAACUCAAAGGAAUUGACGGGGGCCCGCACAAGCGGUGGAGCAUGUGGUUUAAUUCGACGCAACGCGAGGAACCUUACCAGCGUUUGACAUC
This 488-nucleotide ribosomal RNA is filed under the name uncultured bacterium. RNAcentral's name for it is "bacterial SSU rRNA". It matches the Rfam family "Bacterial small subunit ribosomal RNA", at positions 501 to 988 of the family's 1533-position model. The record is from RNAcentral.